RNAcentral lists this non-coding RNA (32 nucleotides) under Geobacter sulfurreducens PCA. The record is from RNAcentral. Lineage: Bacteria; Pseudomonadati; Thermodesulfobacteriota; Desulfuromonadia; Geobacterales; Geobacteraceae.
CCAAAACCGCCAAGGACAACUACGAGGCGCAG